GGACUUGAAAAGGGAAACAAGGAGCAAUUAUAAGGUAUUCCUAUCUCAUGAGCCUGUUGGAUUCUCAGGGAAAUGAAUUUACAGAAGGCUGUAGGCCAUCCCUGCAGAAGAGGUGAAAGGUCCUGACUCCUGAGAAGAACCCCACCUCCCUCUCCUACAUUAGAGGCAGAGCUCCUGUCUAGCGUCCUGGUCUUUCCUGGACCGUUCGAGGACAGCCAGCAUGGUUUCCCGGACUGGAGAAGUCUGACUAGCAAUUUUUCCCAGGCUUUGACUGGGGAAUCCAGACAUUGAGGUUUCUCUGAGGACAACUUUAAGUCCCUGCUGUCAUCAUCUUCAUCGCUGAUUUGAGAGAGGGUCGGAAGAUAUAAUUUACAGCCUCCAGAAGUCUCGCCGAGCCUGAUUGGAUGGUGUCCAGCUUUGCCGGAAUCAGGGAGGACACCACGGGUUAGCCCAAGAUGAAGACAAGACGGAGAGGCGGCUGGGCCCCAGGCGGGUGUGACAGCCCACGGGGGGACAGGAUGCAACCGUGACUGCCUACAUGCAGGACCCAUCAGCCCCGAGAGCCCUGAAACUCCCCAAGGGAGCGGAGUGCCAAAGGCCCCCAAACUGACCAAAGUCACCGGCCCUGGUCCUGCAUCCGGUGGGGACUUCCGGCGUCUUCCUCGCAGCCUCGGACAGCCUGUUGGCUUUGGAUGCACGCCUUGCUUUCCAGUGAGCAUCCCGCCCCUUUGCCGCCCCAACACAGUGUGCAUGAGGCAAGCGUGAGGCUUCUAAGUGAACCUGGGAGUCAGCAACAGGUAGGACCGAAUCGGCCCUUCACUCGGCGUAUGCGUGGCCAUCCAGAGACAACCCCCACCCCAGGACCCCUGCGGGAGGUGCCUGUGGGAGUAGACAGGGUCUGGAGUUGCUCUCAUUUUCCGAAAUGGUUGCUCCAUCCCUGAAGAACGAAAGAAUCCCGGGCAGUGGUCAAAUGGAAACAUAUCUCUUUAGCGAGAUGUCUGAAAGGCAGGAACAAGGAGGGGAGGGAUUUCACUUCUCUGAAGGCCUUCCUUCUUCCCUUCCUCGAAGCGCAGAUAUAGGUGGAUGCAUGCAGACUGACUUUUCUCUGCAAUUAAGCACGGCGGUGGCCAGGAAAACGGGAGCGUGGGGGUGGGGGCGGGGCACACCCAGCCUUCGGUCCUCACUGUUGUCCCUUGUUAAACGUGGGGUCUGCGAGAGCCGACUGCUCAGGUAAGGGCAGUGCAGAGAACAGGAUGCCCCAAGCAACCCAUAAAUAGCAGGGCGAAGACAAAGUGUUUAUUACCUGGCCUCGCGAAGCCCGUAUAAAUGCUCUCCCAGGGUGCGAGAGAGGGGAGCAUGUGUGAGCCGGCCCGCCUGCGUCCCGGGAACGGGAGUCCCAGACCCCGCUGUUCGCGCUUGGCUUGAUUCUAUGAAGGCGUCUAUUUGAUGGAACGUACUGGAACAGUUCAUAGCCGGCCCAGCAAACCUUGUGUGGAGACAGAGCUUUCUUUUUCUCUUUCCUUUUCCUGUUUGCAGGGAGAAUGAGGCCUUUCUCUUCUCGGCCCUUUGCUCUCCCCAAAGUUGUCUCACGAGGUCAUUGCCAGCUGACAGGCUGCCUUUCAGUGCAAGGUUUGGAUGGAAACAAUGCCCUGUUUUCUGGGGGGCUGGGGAGGCUCUGGGCCUAUUCCUGCCCAGGCUGCCCUAAAUUUAAAUGGGUUAUUGUUCUAGUAGGGCUGAAGUUUUCUACAGACAAUUUGUCUAUGUGAUACAAGACUUUCUCCUUCUGGGGUGUGUGUGUGUGUGUUACUAUAUACUAUAUAUAUAUAUAUAUAUAUAGUAAUACACACACACACAUAAACAUGAAUACCUACCACCAAUACUGAGCAUCAGAAAGGUGGUUUAAUAUCAUCAUAUUCAGGAGUUCCCAAUGCGGCUCAAUGGGCUGUGGAACUGAUGUUGUCUCUGUGAGGAUGUGGGUUCCAUCCCUGGCCUGGCUCAGUGGGUUAAGAAUCCAGCAUUGGCGCAAGCUGCAGUGUAGCUCCCAGAUGUGGCUCAGUGUUGCCAUGGCUGUGGCACCGUCCACAGCUGCAGCUCCGAUUCAACCACUGGACCAGGAACUUUCCUGUGCCACAGGUGCAGUCAUAAAAAGGAAAAAAAAAAAAGAUCAUCAUGUUUAUUUUCCAGCCAGGUUCAGCCACUCUCUUGCUGUGUGUCCUUGAGCAAGUUACUUACCCUCUCCAGCUAGGCAUUAGCAUCCUCAGUUCAGACUAGUCUGCCUGUUAAGCUUCCUUCUAGUUCAAACAUACUUUGACUCUGUGAUUGCAGGAUAUUACAUUACCAUGUUCAACGACGAGCUUAAAAGCACUUUCUUUGAAUAGCUUAUCCAUCAACAGAACUGAUUUCUAAGAGCAGUCAAGGAUAUGUGCUGGAUGUUCUAUUGAAUCUCCUGAAUACCGAAUUUAGUGCUUUGCAGAAAUGAAUGGCACGGAGUGGAAAGUAGACGAGAUCUAUGUCGUCAAGUUCUGGGAUCUUGAAAAACCCUUAUAGUUAUACUCAGGGUUGUCAGCUGCAACAAUCUUUGUCACCAGUGGAUAAUACUUUGAGACUUAAGAAGCAGUUUCAAAAGCUAUAUAUAUUGGGAGUUUCUGAAUAAGGACUCAGCUCUGCCAACUCUUUCACUGGAUGGGGAAUGGCAAAUAGAUAAAAGUAAUUCACCAAAACAAAGGUAGACUAUUUUUCAUUAUUAAUAGUGAUCAAGUAAUGAUGAUAAUGUCAAGUAAUGAUGAUCACAUCAGAGGCCUCAGAAGAAGCCUGGUAGGAGAGGACCCAGCCUCUGGGAUGCUAGGAGCCUUCUAGCACAGCCAGCCUCAGGCUGGUGCUGGCUGGCUCGACAGAAGUGCCGCCAACAUAGAACCGUGCUCAGCCUUCUAGGAAGGUAAGUUAUGAGCUGGGCCAAGAAAGAGGGAUUCCCCAGGGUUUUGCCAGUGGCUGCAGUCAGAAUCACAGCCCUGCAGCCACUGACCGCCAUUGCCCACUCCUUUGUUGAUCUGUGCGAGGUGGCCUCUCCAGCCCAGUGAGCCAGAAUCCCUUUUGGAAAAGCCUGAAACUGUCUGCCUGGUUAGAGGUCUUUACUGCUUCUUCAACCUUCUUUCCUUCCUUCCUUCUUUCCUUCUUUCCUUCCUUCCAUCUUUCUUUCCACAAACACUAAUUGAGCAUAUAUUACGCUCCAGGUGCUACAUGAGGCAUGCAGUACUCAUAUAUUUAAACAAAUGGUCCCUGAGCUCAAAAUACUUUCUGCCUCACAAGAGAGAUAAUCCAGUAGACAGAGAAUCACCAAUCUAGUUUAAAUAGAGCUACAUACCUUGAACUUGGAAACCAUAGAGUAGGAAGAGAGGAGUUAGGCCCAGAGGGGAUCUCAGAGGAGCCGUUCUGUGUAGGUGUUGAUAGGGGAGGCCAAGGCAUUCCCAGCAGAGGAAACACAGCUUAUUUGGAAACCUUAGGUAGAUGUUUUGUGGCUCUCAUGUAGGAUUUGGGAAAGAAUGGAGGCUGGGGAUGAGUUUGGGGAUCCACAGCCUCAAAACAACCAUGCAUUGGGUUCAGGAAUAUUUCUUCAUCCUUAUACACUGCAGACAAUUGCCCAGGCCUGCUCAUUAGUUGAGGGUGGGGUAGGGUGGGUGGAUCUCCAAACCUUGCCAAUUAUUCAUAAAAGAUUUGAUGACCAUUCUUAAAGCCUGUCUCUCAGCGUGACGUCCUGCCUCGGGCUCCAUGUCUGCAAGAAUAAGAGCUUGGCCUGAUGUACUCGCCCCAUCCAAGGGUGAAUCUUGAAUCGGAGGGUUUCUGAGACCUAUACCCUGAUACCUGACAGUAGGGUCAGUGCAGGGUCCAGGGACAGUGUGGGAUCACCACAUCCAUGGUUUAAUCACAGUGGAGUCCUUGAUAUUUCUUGCAUUAGACCCUUUGGCCCAACUCUCUUUUUGAUUUCUCCUUGGUAAAUGGUAUGUCUUCAUUGAAGAUAUGGAAGUGCAUGCAUGAAGGUAAAAUACUAACCUCGCCUUUGAAAGUAGGUGCAUGGCUAUGCAGGCUACUGAGCCAGGCCCAAGGCUGUAUUCUAUCCAUAGGCAGAGGCCCCACCCAAUCCUACACCUUCCAGCAAGCCAUGCCCUUCUGCUUUAGGCUGUCUCUGCCUACCGUCCCCUCCCACAGCCCUACCAUGGAGAUUAAGUAGAAUGACCUCCAUUUCAGGGUGUAUAUAGGGCCAUGACUCUCCAACAUGCCCAGCACUCUAGGGGUUAGAAGACCAGCCUUCUUGUGAUAAGCCACGUUCCGAUAAGCAGUUCUAUCUUCUGAAACACAUCUCAAUAUCCCUGAUCUCCUGAGUCUAUUCAUUGGACUGCCUUGAACUUCAAGACCUACUUGAUCAUGUUUGAAACUUCAUAUGAUUACCUGGAUUCGUGGCCCCACAACCUCUUCUGAGUCCUGAUCCUCAUGUGCCUCACUCAUUUCCCCCUUGUGCUUCUCCAUGUCAAGAGGACAUUAAAACAGGCUUCAUUCAGGUGACUCCUUGUGUGUUCUAGCCGAUCUGAAGUCAUGGAGACUGCAAGUACAGGUAUGUGAAAUACAGGAAAUGAAAGUCUGGCAUAGCUUAUAAACUUGCCUGUCUCUCACAAUUUAAAACACUUCCUGAUCUUUGAACCAGAGCAAAUUUCAUAAUGCAUGAGAAUUUGGUGACACUACCCUUUACCACUGGAAAGAACCCAGACUGACAUGAACAAAGCAAUCUCGUCCGUGGAAGAAGAUGUACGAACGCCACUUGCUUGUAGAGUCCCAAGGGAGUCUUGUCUGUCAUCCUCUAUUUUUAAUUAGAGCUGUAAUCAUCUCUCAAGAGGCUUCUGGAGGCUUCAUUAAAUCUACCAGCUUCCCUAUGAUAUAUAAAACGGGUGAUGUCUAAAAUCUUGGCCAUAUCAGAAAUGCGAGGAAGCUGGGGAAAGUGCAUCCAUCAUCUAGGAGCUUCAGGUAAAAUGUGUUUUCCUUUCAUCCCUACAAGACCGAGACUUUGUGGCAAUCAGCACUGAAACAGAACCCUUUCCAAUGGGCACAUUUGCUUCAUGUCCACCUCACAGCCCUGGAGCCUUACAUUGUCCAGUUACAUCUUUAGAAGCUGUCUUUCAGGGCCCUCUUAUGAUCAUGAACGUGGCUCACUGAUGCUUCUUGCAUGAUUCUCCUGGGUCUGCGUUCCUCUGUCUGUGGAGAAGGAAGCGCCCUCUGGGUGCAAUUCACCAAGGACUUUUCCAUUAAGCUACUCUGAGGUCAAACCUACUGCUGUCAGCAGUGUUCUGAAACCUCUCUACUUCCAUUCAGGCUCCCAUCCAAACCAAUGCCCUAGGUAGGGCUUCCAGCCUUGGUACCAUUACCUCACCCUGAAACUGCCAAGUAUCUUUUAUGGUGUUUUUCACCUGUGAGUUACUGCACGGACCCACGACUGGUGGUACCUGACCCUUUGAGAGGAACCAGUCUUUGCAGAUAUGGGGCUAGAAGCAUUGCCAUAGACCAGGGGUUCUCAGUAGUGGUCCUCUUGAUACUUUUUUAAUUAAAAACUUGUAUUGAGAUCAUUGCUCUAGGCAUUUUGAAUCAGAUAAUUCUCUGUUGGCAGGUAGAGGCCAUCCUGUGGAUUGUAGGUAUUUAGCCACAUCCCUGGCCUCUUACCCACUAGAUGCCAGUGGUACCGGUUCCUCAGUUGUAACAAGCAGAAAGGUCUCCAGACAUGGCCACAUGUCCCCUGGGGUAGGGAAACAGAGUCACCCCCUCAUUGGAAAUCACUGCUCUAGACCUCAUGCUGUGUGGGGCUAUGUGGCUUUUCCAGUAGAUGAAUGUUCUGGAGUAUUUAUGGAAUCUUCUCUGGCCUAUAAGAAACAGGAAAGACAUGACCACGAAGAAAGUCACUUGACCCAAGGAAACCACAGGACUUUCCACCAUUCAUUUACAGUUCUUUUCCUGUCUUACAUAUCAGAGAAUCACUCGGACGUGUUAGCUGUUGUGAUGCAGAGGGAAGCUAGAUUUCCUUGCCCAGCCAUGUCAUGUCCUAUUGAAACACUUUUUCUCGUCAUCACAGGAGGUCUUGUUAGAAAGCCCAUAAAGAACUUUGUCUGCUUGUUGUCCUGACUUAGGUGGUUCCACCAGGCCAAGGUUUUUCUGAAACACCAUUUCUGUUGUCUCAUUUGGCCAUUGCCACAGCGUCUAGUAAAGAUGUGAUGUGUCAGAAACUGUGUCAUCAUUUCUCAAUGUUUUCAUCACACUUCAUUUCAAAACGAAAAAAAAAAAAAA
This 6321-nucleotide long non-coding RNA is filed under the name Sus scrofa (pig). Its description in RNAcentral is "lncRNA (ENSSSCG00055003725.1)". Lineage: Eukaryota; Metazoa; Chordata; Mammalia; Artiodactyla; Suidae. The record is from RNAcentral.